UAGUGUUACAGCUCUUUUAGAAUUUGUCUAGCAGGUUUCCCAGUAUUCACCGGAAAGCUCCA
Molecule: small nuclear RNA, 62 nt
Organism: Homo sapiens (human)
Lineage: Eukaryota; Metazoa; Chordata; Mammalia; Primates; Hominidae
Source: Ensembl